RNAcentral lists this ribosomal RNA (494 nucleotides) under uncultured bacterium. RNAcentral describes it as "partial 16S ribosomal RNA". It matches the Rfam family "Bacterial small subunit ribosomal RNA", at positions 28 to 507 of the family's 1533-position model. The record is from RNAcentral.
GACGAACGCUGGCGGCGUGCUUAACACAUGCAUGUCGAACGGUGAAGCGCCUUCCUUUUUGGUGGGUGUGGAUGAGUGGCGAACGGGUGAGUAACACGUGAGUAACCUGCCCCCUUCUUCUGGAUAACCGCAUGAAAGUGUGGCUAAUACGGGAUAUUCUGGGUCUGUCGCAUGAUGGGUCUGGGAAAGAUAUUGUUUCGGUGGGGGAUGGGCUCGCGGCCUAUCAGCUUGUUGGUGGGGUGAUGGCCUACCAAGGCGGUGACGGGUAGCCGGCCUGAGAGGGUGGACGGUCACACUGGGACUGAGACACGGCCAAGACUCCUACGGGAGGCAGCAGUGGGGAAUAUUGCACAAUGGGCGCAAGCCUGAUGCAGCGACGCCGCGUGAGGGAUGGAGGCCUUCGGGUUGUGAACCUCUUUCGCCAGUGAAGCAGGCCUGCCUCGUUUGUGGGUGGGUUGACGGUAGCUGGAUAAGAAGCGCCGGCUAACUACGUG